RNAcentral lists this ribosomal RNA (1065 nucleotides) under bacterium enrichment culture clone AOM-SR-B55. RNAcentral's name for it is "bacterial SSU rRNA". It matches the Rfam family "Bacterial small subunit ribosomal RNA", at positions 8 to 1030 of the family's 1533-position model. The record is from RNAcentral.
AGAGUUUGAUCCUGGCUCAGGAUGAACGCUAGCGGUGCGCUUAACACAUGCAAGUCGUGCGAUCGAACCGGAUGGAUUUCCCUUCGGGGUCUGAAGACCGGUCACGGAGCGGCGAACUGGUGAGUAACACGUAGCUAACCUACCCUCUUGACAGGAAUAACCAUCCGAAAGGAUGGCUAAUGCCCGAUGUUGUGCGGAGUUGAUGACUUCGUUCCAAAGGCGGUCUUGCCGCCACAAGGGGAGGGGGCUGCGUCCUAUUAGCUAGUUGGUAGGGUAAUGGCCUACCAAGGCAAAAAUGGGUAGCUGGUCUGAGAGGACGAUCAGCCACAUUGGGACUGAGAUACGGCCCAGACUCCUACGGGAGGCAGCAGUGGGGAAUAUUGGACAAUGGACGAAAGUCUGAUCCAGCGACACCGCGUGGGGGAUGAAGGCUUUCGGGUCGUAAACCCCUUUUCUGGGGGAAGAAUAAGGUUGGGAGGAAAUGCCCAUCCGAUGACGGUACUCCAGGAAUAAGCAUCGGCAAACUUCGUGCCAGCAGCCGCGGUAAGACGAGGGAUGCAAGCGUUAUCCGGAAUUACUGGGCGUAAAGGGCGUCUAGGCGGUUGGAUAAGUCAUUUGUGAAAUCCCAGGGCUCAACCCUGGAAGGUCUCGUGAUACUGUCCGGCUUGGGUGUAGGAGAGGAGAGCGGAACUCACAGAGUAGCGGUGGAAUGCGUAGAUACUGUGAGGUACCCCGAUGGCGAAGGCAGCUCUCUGGCCUACUACCGACGCUGAAGCGCGAAAGCGUGGGGAGCAAAGGGGAUUAGAUACCCCCGUAGUCCACGCCCUAAACGAUGUUCACUUGGUGUCGGGAGCCUAUAUAUCUCGGUGCCGGAGCUAACGCGUUAAGUGAACCGCCUGAGGAGUACGGUCGCAAGGCUAAAACUCAAGAGAAUUGACGGGUCCCCGCACAAGCGGUGGAGCACGUGGUUUAAUUUCGAUGAUAAGCGAAGAACCUCACCUGGGCUUGACAUACUAGUGGUAGGAACCUGAAAGGGUAACGACCCUGCCUUCGGGUAGGGAGCUA